RNAcentral lists this long non-coding RNA (290 nucleotides) under Nicotiana benthamiana. Its description in RNAcentral is "long non-coding RNA (NBEN_LNC024702)". Lineage: Eukaryota; Viridiplantae; Streptophyta; Magnoliopsida; Solanales; Solanaceae. The record is from RNAcentral.
UUGCUUCCCUUUUUGACAAGAAUCACAAAUAGAGUCGUUUUCAAAUCUCAAAUUGGGAAGACCAAUAACUAAGUUUUGUGAAAUCAAUUUGUUCAAAAUAUGCAUGUUUAUAUGUGCUACUCUAUGAUGCCAUAGCCAAGUAUCAUCCUCUUUGCUCAUAAUGCAAUCCACAUAUUCGGGUGAGGAGUUAGCAAGAUCAACCAUAUAAAUAUUAUCCACUCUAAAACUACGAAGGAUAAUUUUGAAAUCACUACGUCUAAAUACUAAGCAUUCAUCCGAAUCAAAUAAGG